Molecule: ribosomal RNA, 253 nt
Filed under: uncultured bacterium
Lineage: Bacteria
Description: partial 16S ribosomal RNA
Rfam family: Bacterial small subunit ribosomal RNA
Source: RNAcentral
UACAGAGGGUGCGAGCGUUAAUCGGAAUUACUGGGCGUAAAGCGUGCGUAGACGGUUAUUUAAGUCGGGUGUGAAAGCCCCGGGCUCAACCUGGGAAUUGCAUUCGAGACUGAAUAGCUAGGGUACGGUAGAGGGAAGCGGAAUUUCCGGUGUAGCGGUGAAAUGCGUAGAUAUCGGAAGGAACACCAGUGGCGAAAGCGACUUCCUGGGCUAGUACCGACGUUCAGGCACGAAAGCGUGGGGAGCAAACAGG